UUCAUCAUUUCUUUUUCUUUAGCAACUUUUUUCUCUCUCUCAUCUUUCUUCUUCUUUUUCUCUUCUUUGGCUAUUCUCCUUCAUAAGCCACUUGAGUCAUCGGUUGUCGUUGCCUUCUUUAAUAGUAAUGGAGAAGGAUGCUAGUCUAGAGGGAGUCUCAAAAAAUUGGCAUGGGUUGAAUCAAGUCAAAAGGCAGAUUUUUUACAGAUAAUGAAUGUUGAUUUAGAGGCGAUCUAAUGGAGACGAGGUCCAAAAUGAAGCUGAAGCCAAAAAGGAGAUGGUGAUGGGUUAAAGUCAUGAAUGAGCCAAACAUUAACUUCUGCUAUCUCAUCUCUAUUCAUUGUCCACAUAUUAAUAUCAACAAAGCUCAGUUUGUAUUGUUUGAUUUUCUAUUGAGAUUUUAAUUUUUGAUUGUUGUUUUUUGGUAUAAUUUAGAUUUGUUUAGUUUUGGGAAUUUUAUUUUAUGUGAGAACGUUAUUGUUGAAAUUGUUGAUUUGUGGCUUAUUUUAAGUUUUCAAUUUAAAAACUUUAAAGAUUUUUUUAAUUUUUUGUAAAUAGAAUUUCAUUAUAUCGAUUCUGUUAUAGCGAGUAAAAUGUUAAAUUCCUAUCAAGUAAACUUUGUGAUGAGUUUUUGUAAAAGAAGUAGGUAUGUAUAUAUAUUUGUAUUACUAGGAAAUUUUCA
Molecule: long non-coding RNA, 682 nt
Filed under: Manihot esculenta (cassava)
Lineage: Eukaryota; Viridiplantae; Streptophyta; Magnoliopsida; Malpighiales; Euphorbiaceae
Description: long non-coding RNA (MESC_LNC006448)
Source: RNAcentral